AGAAAAAUCUAUUCCCUGAGUAGCGGCGAGCGAAACGGGAAGAGCCCAAACCAAUAAGCUUGCUUAUUGGGGUUGUAGGACACUCUAUACGGAGUUACAAAGGAAUAUAUUAAACGAAUCAUCUGGAAAGUUGAAUCAAAGAAGGUAAUAAUCCUGUAGUUGAAAAUAUAUUCUCUCUUGAGUGGAUCCUGAGUACGACGGAGCACGUGAAAUUCCGUCGGAAUCUGGGAGGACCAUCUCCUAAGGCUAAAUACUCUCUAGUGACCGAUAGUGAACCAGUACCGUGAGGGAAAGGUGAAAAGUACCCCGGAAGGGGAGUGAAAGAGAACUUGAAACCGUGUGCUUACAAGUAGUCAGAGCCCGUUAAUGGGUGAUGGCGUGCCUUUUGUAGAAUGAACCGGCGAGUUACGAUCUGAUGCAAGGUUAAGCAGCGUAUGU
RNAcentral lists this ribosomal RNA (438 nucleotides) under Crypthecodinium cohnii. Its description in RNAcentral is "partial Bacterial large subunit ribosomal RNA". It matches the Rfam family "Bacterial large subunit ribosomal RNA", at positions 224 to 659 of the family's 2925-position model. Lineage: Eukaryota; Dinophyceae; Gonyaulacales; Crypthecodiniaceae. The record is from RNAcentral.